Molecule: long non-coding RNA, 318 nt
Filed under: Gossypium raimondii (Peruvian cotton)
Lineage: Eukaryota; Viridiplantae; Streptophyta; Magnoliopsida; Malvales; Malvaceae
Description: long non-coding RNA (GRAI_LNC007299)
Source: RNAcentral
AACAUUCUAGAUUCGACUAUAACGUCUGGGUCGUGUUUGGGGUGUUACAAAUUUUUUUAAUUUUGUUUGUACUUUUCUUUUUAUUUUUAGUUAUUUUUUAUGUUAUUUGUGAAACUUAUUUAUUUUUAUUUUGAACCUUGUUAUUUUUAUUAUUUUGAUGGUUGUUUUUGUUCGACAUUGUAAUUUUUUUAUCUUCUUAUUUAUUUUGUUUAACUUCUUAUUAGUCUAUUAUGGCAAUUUCAUCCCAAUUCAAGGCAGAUUCAAUUCUCUCUAUCCCUUAUGAUAUUGUGUUUAUUCUGUGAUUAUAUCUAUUUCUAC